Molecule: ribosomal RNA, 433 nt
Filed under: uncultured bacterium
Lineage: Bacteria
Description: partial 16S ribosomal RNA
Rfam family: Bacterial small subunit ribosomal RNA
Source: RNAcentral
AGCGAAUGCUGGCGGCAGGCCUAACACAUGCAAGUCGAACGGAUCCUUCGGGAUUAGUGGCGGACGGGUGAGUAACACAUGGGAACGUGCCCUUUGGUUCGGAACAACUCAGGGAAACUUGAGCUAAUACCGGAUGUGCCCUUCGGGGGAAAGAUUUAUCGCCAUUGGAGCGGCCCGCGUCUGAUUAGCUAGUUGGUGAGGUAACGGCCCACCAAGGCGACGAUCAGUAGCUGGUCUGAGAGGAUGAUCAGCCACACUGGGACUGAGACACGGCCCAGACUCCUACGGGAGGCAGCAGUGGGGAAUCUUGCGCAAUGGGCGAAAGCCUGACGCAGCCAUGCCGCGUGAAUGAUGAAGGUCUUAGGAUUGUAAAAUUCUUUCAGCGGGGACGAUAAUGACGGUACCCGCAGAAGAAGCUCCGGCUAACUUCGUG